AGCCCACGGGGUAGAUUACACCAAAAUGCAAAUUUGGAGACGCACCCAGAAAGGUGCCGGGGCUU
Molecule: transfer RNA, 65 nt
Filed under: Hemiphyllodactylus harterti (Bintang slender gecko)
Lineage: Eukaryota; Metazoa; Chordata; Lepidosauria; Squamata; Gekkonidae
Description: tRNA-Cys
Source: RNAcentral